This 1746-nucleotide long non-coding RNA is filed under the name Sparus aurata (gilthead seabream). RNAcentral describes it as "lncRNA (ENSSAUG00010013132.1)". Lineage: Eukaryota; Metazoa; Chordata; Actinopteri; Spariformes; Sparidae. The record is from RNAcentral.
AUGACUCUCAGCUGUGCAGAAAACCACGUCGGUACUGCUGACGCAAAUGAUUCAGCCAAGAGGAUUAUUCACUUCCUGGGAGACUCUGGCAAAGAAAUUAUGUCACACCUUACCACAGUGUCCAGGAAGGGCUGUGAGGUGGAGGUGGUUGUGAUGGUUCAGGGGAGCAAGGAGCUCGAUCGAGGUGAUAUGGAGUUACUUCCUCUCAGAGAUUUUGGUGUAGAGAAGACAUCAUUAUCUCCCCUUGUCCCUGAGAUCACUGCUGUUUUGGGACCCCUAUGCUUCUUGUGACCUAUGAAGAGUGUGUUUUUGUGUGUGUGUGUGUGUGUGUGUGUGUGUGUGUGUGUGUGUGUGUGUGUGUGUGUGUGUGCAUGUGUGUGUGUGCGUGUGUGCGUGUGUGUGUGUGUGUGCAUGCAUGUGUGAUGAAAUUCUGUAAAUAUCCUUGAUUAAAUAAAGACAUGAAUAUACUGUAUGAUGGUUAGAUAUUUUACACUAAGAAUUGUGUUGCUCAGUACUGUAUUUUUGUGUAUAUUUAUUAAACUGCCUCAAGUAUUUUCUAAAUUGUUAUUAUAUGUUAUGUAGCAUUGGAGCUUAAAGUGUUUAUAUGACAACUCGAUGUAUCCUCACAGGGGAAUGAUGUGUAGCACUAUCAAAAUAAAAUGAUGAGAUUGAACUUGUGGAAUUAAACUGAACCAUGUGCAUCUGUUGCAAUUUAAAGCAGUUACAAUUUGGAAUUUAAGAUAUUGUGUAGAUUUAUGUUCUUUCCUGGACAUUAUGCUGUAGAUAAUUGUUAAUGUAAAUGCUGAAGUUGAGAUCAGGCAUUAUUCAGGAUUUAUAGUGGUAAUUCAGUUUUUUUUUAAUUUAUAUUAAUUAAUUAAUUUUAUAUAUUAAUUCAUUUGUUUUGCUUGUGCUUAGAGGAUGAGUUUGGUCGAACACAGAUAAUGAAUAGCAGCUUUUCUACUCUGCUGCAGAUAAAGGCCUGAUGCCAGAACUGUAGAUUCCUAGUUUUGGACAGAGUAACCACUUCCCAAGUGUCCAAGUUCAGGGAAGUCAAGAAGUCACAAUAGUUAAUAAGUUGUUGGAGGAGAGUUCCCAUAAAACAUGCUGACCAUUUCUGAACAAAGUGGCUUUGUUGUGACAGAAAAGAUCUGCAGCCAGGCAUUGGAAUUGGUCUGAAACUGUUACCGAAUCUCAACCCUCCCUUAUAAAAUUCACUCAUGAUCCUUAAGUAACGCAGCAGCCAGGAGGCAAAUCUUUGGUUAGUAUGUCUUCAGUUGGGAAGUUUUUUUGAAUAGAUGAUGCAGUCGUUUAUGAGUUGCAUAAAUAUAUCCCUCUGUCUUUGUCGUUAAUUGUAUUUGUCACACUCAACUCAUGAGACCAGUUACUUUUUUUAUGACCCAUUAUGGUUCGAGGGUACACCAGUUCAAGUAUACUUCAAAAGAGUUCAUCGUCAACUGCAGGGACCAGCAAUCUCCAAGUGGUGGUCAUUCUGAUCGAUUGCAAUUUUUCGGGCAAUAUAGGAAUAUGGUCUCUUUAAGGUACUAUCAGCUGACAUGAUCUCUUGAACAGGGUCCGUGAAUCAAAAUCUGGUUUAAAGUAAUUAUUAUUGCAGAUCAAAGUGGGCCUGCACAGUGCUAAUUCGUAAACGUAGGUUCAUAAUUGCAUGUAUUUGUUUGCAUUGAUCAAUAAGCGUCUGUCACUGUAAAGUAGACCAAUAAAAUAAUAAAAGAAAUAAAUCCUCUAUCC